UGUUAGACAUUUGGUAAAAAGUUUUUCCACAGAACAUAAAUUGAAAUUCGAUUGGUACAAGAACAUUUCAAAUUAGUCAAUUUAAUGUGUCACUUGUUUGUAGCAGAAGCUCAGUGCUGUAAGCACUUGUUUAGAUGCAGGCAGUAAAACUUUUGCGGAUGCCGCGCCAAGAACAAUUAUAAAUCUAAUCCAAUGUAAGACCUUUUAUAUGUGCACACAGUAAAACGUUAUCGAGAGGAAUAAAGAGAUUGCGAUGGAUAAAAGAGAAAGAUAGACAGAGGAAGACCUGUUGGCUAACUAGUUUAAGCACUUUCGUGGAUCGCAGCAUCAAAAGGUUGACAAUUUUUGCUUUAAUAGAGAAAGCAUUGAAAUCAAGUUUAAGCGAAUAUUUCUGCAGUAGAGGGAUUUAAAAUUGACAGCUCUCGACUGAGUUAAUGCUAUAGAGCAAUCUCGUAUUUAUUUGAUGACACAUCCCUAAUUUUAUUCAUAGUAGUAAUUCAGGAAAUGAAACCUUUACGAAAAACGUUUACAAAAUAAAAUUAUUUGAAAAUGUAAUGCCCUCGUGAGUUGAACUCAACACCAAAAUGCUGGAGCAUAAAUAAUAAAUCCUAUUCAUGAUAUAUAGUUCACUUCAUAAAAUUAAACUAAAGUGCCUCCGGCUUUCUGGCAACUAUCAUUAUAUUUUACGCAAUAAAUUCAUAUCAUAUAUACAAAUGAAAACCACAUUUGCUGAAAUAGAAAUUGAUCAGCACAUCGAAUGGCAUAUUGGCCACAAUUUUCAUAUGUUAUAAAUAAAUACAUUUAUAUUCCAAUUAGCUGGCAACUUUACAUGGACCGAAAGCAAAUGUAAUCUGUACAGUUUACACAUUGUAAAUAGAAUUUUGCAAAAUGUUAUAAUAAUUUUACGAAUCUAAUUGGGAAGCUAUUUGCGUGGCGCACUGUUGGGCAGGGGCCAGAUUGCUGAUAAGCCGUUUACAUUUUAAAACUGAUUAAAUUAACUCCGGCCGAAACAACAAAGCCAACAAUCGGAACAACGACAUUAACAACAACUACAAGAAGAAAAACAUAAGCAGCUUUUAGAACUGCCGAAGUAGCAUUAAAAAGUGUUAGAAGUUGGAAAGCGUAGAAGGCGAUGGGUAAGUUAAGAGCCGGUAGUCGGAGGAGUGCAUAUGCUUUGCACUGCACAGGAUGGAAACUGGAACAGGGGCAAGAAGAAGCACUGCAAGGACUACACUACUAUAAAAUUAAGAUUAAAAGCUUGCAAUGUGUGCGAGCUGUUCUAUCUGGCCCCGUUUAUUAGUAUCUCUCGGUCUCUCUCUCUCUCUCUCUUUCUCUUCUUAUCGCAAACAUUCUCUCUCUCUGUCUGGCUGUUUAUUUGCUGGUGUGUGUAUUUAAGAUGUAGGAAAACAAACAAGCUGAAGCUGAAGCUGAAAAGCGUUUUCUUUGCCCUCGUGCCAGAUUAGUUGCCCGACCGCCACAAAGGACUAGGAAAUUAAAAAAUUUCUCUAAUACACAAUGCACAGCACCAGCGUUAAGUGAAACAAAGCAGCGUUUUAAUUUACCAAGCAUUGCACAUUAAAAAAACAACAACAAUAGCAACAACUACAAAACAGAAGCAUCCACACAAGCUGACAGCCAAAUAGAGCAACAUGGCGCAUGGCAGCUGAGAGAUGAAGGAAAAACAUAUAUAUAUACAAAUAUAUGUAUAUAUAUAUAUUAAAGGCCAACAGCACGAUUCGUUGCCGGAAUAUGUCAAAGGCCAGCGAGAGAUAUCAGCUACUUUGCAAUUUUCGUGCUUUAUCAGCGUGACCAAAAAAUGUUGUUUGACAUUCACAAUUUUUGUGCCGCAGCAAAAACAAUUUGCAUUGAUUUACGGCAAUCAGCACACAAUAAAAUAUUGUGAUUCCCUUAAGAAACAAUUAAGAAGCUACUACAAUAGCAAUUAAAUAUGUAAAGAUUUUUCUGAAAAGAAAAAAAAAAACAAAAGAAAUGCAACUACAAUGCAAUGUAAAUGUUGUCAGAUUGGAAAAUUGUUUGUAAGGAAAAUGUCUAACUGUAUUUUAAUGAUAUGGCAACAGUAAACAAGGCAAUCAGAUAUUCGGCAAAUUUAAAAUUUACACACUUAUACUUGAUAAUUUGGUAUACGUGUUUGGCUGACGGAUUUAAUUCAAUAUUCAGAAUUUUGGUUUUAGUAUUCAUAUGCCAUUAAAAAUGUAUAAUUAAAAUAACAAACUUCCAUUAAUUGAAGUAUUUCAAAUUUAUAUGAAACAACUCUAGCGCAAUAAUGCUCUAUAUUUUAAAUGAAAGCAAAAA
Molecule: non-coding RNA, 2313 nt
Organism: Drosophila virilis
Lineage: Eukaryota; Metazoa; Arthropoda; Insecta; Diptera; Drosophilidae
Source: RefSeq, a predicted model, not a curated record